CGCCAGGAAUUUUCCUGGUAGGAUCUGCCCACUGAACUUUAAAUGGCCGCAGUACCCUGACUGUGCUAAGGUAGCAUAAUAAUUUGCCUUUUAAUUAAAGGCUAGCAUGAAUGAUUUGACGAAAGAAGAACUGUCUCUACUUAUUUUAAAUAAAUUAACCUAGAAGUUAAAAGGCUUCUAUUCUCUAGAGGGACGACAAGACCCUAUAAAGCUUUAUUUAUCAUAUUUCUAUUUAUUUCAAAAAAAAAAUAUAAAUUUAUAAAUUUUAUUGGGGCGAUAAAUAAACAAACAUUAUUAACCAUAACGUUCUUAACGAAAUUUAUAAAACGUUUUUAAACCACAACAAGUUACUUUAGGGAUAACAGCAUAAUUUCUUUUUAGAGCCCUUAUCGACAAAGAAGAUUAUGACCUCGAUGUUGAAUUGAGCUACUCCUUUUAUGUAGACUUAAAAGGCAGGAGUCUGUUCGACCCUUAA
This 475-nucleotide ribosomal RNA is filed under the name Tylos sp. clade F MM-2013. RNAcentral describes it as "partial 16S large subunit ribosomal RNA". It matches the Rfam family "Archaeal large subunit ribosomal RNA", at positions 1924 to 2660 of the family's 2987-position model. Lineage: Eukaryota; Metazoa; Arthropoda; Malacostraca; Isopoda; Tylidae. The record is from RNAcentral.